AACUGCUGCUGACAAAAAUAAAAAUGAAGGGCAGUAAUUCCUUAAAAUGUUCAGAGUUAACUGCGAGUGCAGUUAUUAUAACCAAGUCCUCGAAACACUGUUAGAUACUGAUUUUCUUACAAUAUGUUACGUUUGAUAUGAAGUCUGUCCACAGAACUUCCUCACCAAUCACUCUGCAGCUGUAUAUAUGAGUUUUUUUUGGUGAU
Long non-coding RNA from Empidonax traillii (willow flycatcher), 206 nucleotides. RefSeq lists it as uncharacterized. The record is from RefSeq and is a predicted model, not a curated record. Lineage: Eukaryota; Metazoa; Chordata; Aves; Passeriformes; Tyrannidae. The transcript has 3 exons.